AUGGUCCUCAGUGAAGCCCGGCUCCACUCUUCACUGAGGGUCGGCUCCAGUCCCCAGGGAGGCCAGGCUUCGGUCCACACAGAGCCUGGCUCACUUCUCACUGAGGUUCUGUUCUCCUCCUCCCUGAGGCCUGAAUUUACUUCCCUGAGGCCUGGCUCCUCUAGGGACCGAGAACCGGCUCCGCUCUCCCCUGAGGCUCCUAUCCGUUCUCACUGGGACCCACCUCCCCCAGCACUGAGGCCUGGGCCUCACAGAGGCCAGGCUCGCUUCUCCCCACCUUUCAACUCUGCUUCUCCCCGAGGCCUGACUGCUUCACCGAGUCCUGGCCCCGCUGCUUAGGGAGGUUUGGCUCCUGGGCCUGAGGCCCAAGUCACGCGUUAUGGAAGCUCAGCUCUGCUUCUCCCUGAGGCCUGACUUUGCCUCUCUUCGGCCUGGCUCCGCUCCAAAAUGAGGCCUGGCUCUGCUUCUCACCGAGGCCCAGUCUGGUCCUGAAGGAGGCCGACUCUGGUCCUAAGGCUCGGCUCUGGCCUUCACUGAGUCCUUGCUCUGCUCCUCGCUUAGGCCAAACUUUGCUUCUCUGAGGCCUGGCUUGCUUCCACUGAGGUUCCGCUCUACCCCUCUGAGUCCAGACUUUGCUACUCUGAGGCCCUGCUCUGCCCCGCUCCACACUGAGGCCUGGCUCACUUCUCACUGCGGUUCCGCUCUCCUCCUUGAGGCCUGACUCUGCUUCUCUGAGGCAAGUCUCCGCUCCUCACAGAGGCUUGGCUGUUCCUCCCUGAGGCCCUGCUCCACUCUUCGGUAUGGCCGGGCUCUGCUCCUCACUGAUUCCCAGCUCUGCUCCUCAUUCGGACCUGAUUAUGCUCAUCUCAGACCUGACUAUAACAGGAGUCUCCAUCAAUAUGGAACUUAAAACCACAACCUUCACAUACUUUAAAAUUGUUAUAUUAAAAAUAAAGAUAAUUUUUGGCAACAGUGUAUAGAAAUUGGAACUUUUAAAUGUUAGUUGUCAAAAUGUGAUAUGGUUCAAUCUACUUAUGCAAAACUUUGGCAUCUUAUCAAAAAUAUAAAAAUUCAGUUAUCAUCAGUUUCAAAAAGUCUGCUCUUACAUAUAUACCCAAAGAAUUUUAAAUAAAUGUUGAAAUAAAAGUUUAUACCAAUAUUCACAGCAGCACUGUUCU
RNAcentral lists this long non-coding RNA (1178 nucleotides) under Capra hircus (goat). Its description in RNAcentral is "lncRNA (ENSCHIG00010013271.1)". The record is from RNAcentral. Lineage: Eukaryota; Metazoa; Chordata; Mammalia; Artiodactyla; Bovidae.